Molecule: long non-coding RNA, 711 nt
Organism: Zingiber officinale
Lineage: Eukaryota; Viridiplantae; Streptophyta; Magnoliopsida; Zingiberales; Zingiberaceae
Exons: 5
Source: RefSeq, a predicted model, not a curated record
UGCGAAUUUAUUUUUAGGGUUAUCGUGGACUAACCUUAGGGAAAUUUUUAGAAAUUUUUAGAAAUUUUUCUGGAGUUAAACCGAGUCCCUAUAACUCGCUUUAAGGGAUAUAUCGAUAGGGUUAGAUGGAGACAGGUUUGGAAUACCCAGAUUAAGUGGGAAUCGAUUAAGGUUAAACUUAGGUUUUAAUUAAGCUAACCUAAGGCUGGGUUUAAUUGCGCUAUAAAACGCCGAAGCCCUUUCUUUUUCCCCGACUCUCUUCUCUAUUCCUCCCCUGCGCCUCACGAUCUCAGACGCCACGCGACCGAGACCGGCGAUCGCUUCUUCCCUCGGUGUCGCCGGCGAGGAGCGGAUCUUGGAGCAUCGAAGGGAAGAAAGGUUUAGGCCCCCGAAUCCGUUGAUCUUGCUUGCAGUUGGGGGAGAAUCGAGCGUGCCGGGGUUGGAUCAGGCCAGCAUCGCUUGCGUGGAAGAGGUUUUGGCUGUGAAUCAAGGCUUCCGAUCUCUUCUCUGUUCGUUAGCAAGAAACAGGACCGAGCCCUAAUCGAAGGAUUGGAGAGGUGAUAUGGUGAUGCCGGCCACCACAGCUCGGUUGGACUGAUCUCUUCAUCAGAUCUGUGAUUACCUCUGACGAUUGAAGGGUGAAGAGGACCUUGAUCUGGACGAGUUGCGUGACGUGGUGGUUCUGUUGAUUGCGGGAUAUAUCGAGGCGUG